UAGUGAGUUUGAUCCUGGCUCAGAACGAACGCUGGCGGCAUGCCUAACACAUGCAAGUCGAACGAGACCUUCGGGUCUAGUGGCGCACGGGUGCGUAACGCGUGGGAACCUGCCCUUAGGUUCGGAAUAACUCAGAGAAAUUUGAGCUAAUACCGGAUAAUGUCUUCGGACCAAAGAUUUAUCGCCUUUGGAUGGGCCCGCGUAGGAUUAGCUUGUUGGUGGGGUAAUGGCCUACCAAGGCGACGAUCCUUAGCUGGUCUGAGAGGAUGAUCAGCCACACUGGGACUGAGACACGGCCCAGACUCCUACGGGAGGCAGCAGUGGGGAAUAUUGGACAAUGGGCGAAAGCCUGAUCCAGCAAUGCCGCGUGAGUGAUGAAGGCCCUUAAGGGUU
RNAcentral lists this ribosomal RNA (393 nucleotides) under uncultured Porphyrobacter sp. RNAcentral describes it as "bacterial SSU rRNA". It matches the Rfam family "Bacterial small subunit ribosomal RNA", at positions 1 to 424 of the family's 1533-position model. The record is from RNAcentral. Lineage: Bacteria; Pseudomonadati; Pseudomonadota; Alphaproteobacteria; Sphingomonadales; Erythrobacteraceae.